UACGGAGGGGGCAAGCGUUAUCCGGAAUUAUUGGGCGUAAAGGGUGCGUAGGCGGCCGGUUAAGUCAGGUGUGAAAUUUCUGUGCUUAACGCAGAAAGUGCGCCUGAGACUGGCGGGCUUGAGUCCAGGAGGGGAUGGUGGAAUGCCCAGUGUAGAGGUGAAAUGCGUAGAUAUUGGGAAGAACACCCGUGGCGAAGGCGGCCCUCUGGACUGGUACUGACGCUAAGGCGCGAAAGCGUGGGGAGCAAACAGG
RNAcentral lists this ribosomal RNA (253 nucleotides) under uncultured bacterium. RNAcentral describes it as "partial 16S ribosomal RNA". It matches the Rfam family "Bacterial small subunit ribosomal RNA", at positions 524 to 776 of the family's 1533-position model. The record is from RNAcentral.